UGCAUGUACUUUAUGAAUAAGGAUCGGCUAACUCCGUGCCAGCAGCCGCGGUAAUACGGAGGAUCCGAGCGUUAUCCGGAUUUAUUGGGUUUAAAGGGAGCGUAGAUGGAUGUUUAAGUCAGUUGUGAAAGUUUGCGGCUCAACCGUAAAAUUGCAGUUGAUACUGGAUGUCUUGAGUGCAGUUGAGGCAGGCGGAAUUCGUGGUGUAGCGGUGAAAUGCUUAGAUAUCACGAAGAACUCCGAUUGCGAAGGCAGCCUGCUAAGCUGCAACUGACAUUGAGGCUCGAAAGUGUGGGUAUCAAACAGGAUUAGAUACCCUGGUAGUCCACACGGUAAACGAUGAAUACUCGCUGUUUGCGAUAUACGGCAAGCGGCCAAGCGAAAGCGUUAAGUAUUCCACCUGGGGAGUACGCCGGCAACGGUGAAACUCAAAGGAAUUGACGGGGGCCCGCACAAGCGGAGGAACAUGUGGUUUAAUUCGAUGAUACGCGAGGAACCUUACCCGGGCUUAAAUUGCACUCGAAUGAUCCGGAAACGGUUCAGCUAGCAAUAGCGAGUGUGAAGGUGCUGCAUGGUUGUCGUCAGCUCGUGCCGUGAGGUGUCGGCUUAAGUGCCAUAACGAGCGCAACCCUUGUUGUCAGUUACUAACAGGUGAUGCUGAGGACUCUGACAAGACUGCCAUCGUAAGAUGUGAGGAAGGUGGGGAUGACGUCAAAUCAGCACGGCCCUUACGUCCGGGGCUACACACGUGUUACAAUGGGGGGUACAGAGGGCCGCUACCACGCGAGUGGAUGCCAAUCCCUAAACCCCUCUCAGUUCGGACUGGAGUCUGCAACCCGACUCCACGAAGCUGGAUUCGCUAGUAAUCGCGCAUCAGCCACGGCGCGGUGAAUACGUUCCCGGGCCUUGUACACACCGCCCGUCAAGCCAUG
Molecule: ribosomal RNA, 932 nt
Filed under: Phocaeicola dorei
Lineage: Bacteria; Pseudomonadati; Bacteroidota; Bacteroidia; Bacteroidales; Bacteroidaceae
Description: bacterial SSU rRNA
Rfam family: Bacterial small subunit ribosomal RNA
Source: RNAcentral